Molecule: ribosomal RNA, 371 nt
Filed under: uncultured organism
Description: partial 16S ribosomal RNA
Rfam family: Bacterial small subunit ribosomal RNA
Source: RNAcentral
GUAGGUGGCAAGCGUUGUCCGGAAUUAUUGGGCGUAAAGCGCGCGCAGGGCGGUCCUUUAAGUCUGAUGUGAAAGCCCACGGCUCAACCGUGGAGGGUCAUUGGAAACUGGGGGACUUGAGUACAGAAGAGGAAAGCGGAAUUCCAGUGUAGCGGUGAAAUGCGUAGAGAUUUGGAGGAACACCAGUGGCGAAGGCGGCUUUCUGGUCUGUAACUGACGCUGAGGCGCAAAAGCGUGGGGAGCAAACAGGAUUAGAUACCCUGGUAGUCCACGCCGUAAACGAUGAGUGCUAAGUGUUAGGGGGUUUCCGCCCCUUAGUGCUGCAGCUAACGCAUUAAGCACUCCGCCUGGGGAGUACGGCCGCAAGGCUG